AAACGACUCUCGGCAACGGAUAUCUCGGCUCUCGCAUCGAUGAAGAACGUAGCGAAAUGCGAUACUUGGUGUGAAUUGCAGAAUCCCGUGAACCAUCGAGUCUUUGAACGCAAGCUGCGCCCCAAGCCGUCAGACCGAGGGCACGUCUGCCUGGGUGUCACG
Molecule: ribosomal RNA, 162 nt
Filed under: Swietenia humilis (Mexican mahogany)
Lineage: Eukaryota; Viridiplantae; Streptophyta; Magnoliopsida; Sapindales; Meliaceae
Description: 5.8S ribosomal RNA
Rfam family: 5.8S ribosomal RNA
About the family: 5.8S ribosomal RNA (5.8S rRNA) is a component of the large subunit of the eukaryotic ribosome. It is transcribed by RNA polymerase I as part of the 45S precursor that also contains 18S and 28S rRNA.
Source: RNAcentral